AUUGAACGCUGGCGGCAGGCCUAACACAUGCAAGUCGCACGAGUGGCGGACGGGUGAGUAAUGUCUGGGAAACUGCCCGAUGGAGGGGGCUAACUACUGGAAACGGUAGCUAAUACCGCAUACCAUCGGAUGUGCCCCGAGGGGAUUAGCUAGUAGGUGGGGUAACGGCUCACCUGGGCGACUAUCCCUAGCUGGUCUGAGAGGAUGACCAGCCAAACUGGAACUGAGACACGGUCCAGACUCCUACGGGAGUCAGCAGUGGGGAAUAUUGCACAAUGGGCGCAAGCCUGAUGCAGCCAUGCCUCGUGUAUGAAUAAGGCCUUCGGGUUGUAAAGUACUUUCAGCGAGGAGGCGUUACUCGCAGAAUAAGCACCGGCUAACUCCGUGCCAGCAGCCGCGGGAAUAC
RNAcentral lists this ribosomal RNA (406 nucleotides) under uncultured bacterium. Its description in RNAcentral is "partial 16S ribosomal RNA". It matches the Rfam family "Bacterial small subunit ribosomal RNA", at positions 30 to 526 of the family's 1533-position model. The record is from RNAcentral.